This 342-nucleotide ribosomal RNA is filed under the name Triticum aestivum (bread wheat). RNAcentral describes it as "partial small subunit ribosomal RNA". The record is from RNAcentral. Lineage: Eukaryota; Viridiplantae; Streptophyta; Magnoliopsida; Poales; Poaceae.
AUGGUGAACACCUAUUGGCAACGCAUCAAGGAGUACUUCGAUGAGCGCAACACAAGUGGUCACUUCCGUUCGAGCGACUCUCUACGCCAGCGUUGGUCCACCAUCAACGCCGAAUGCCAAAAGUGGGCCGGUUGCUUGUCAAACGUUGCUCGCAUGAACCCAAGUGGUUGCGGUGAUAGUGACUUGAAAAUGAUUGCACAAGGAUUGUUUCAAGAGAGGAACAUGAAAGGCGAGAAGAAGAAAAGGAAAGGAAAAGCUUUCACUUUUCAUCAUUGCUACAAAGAGCUCAAGGAUGAGGAGAAGUGGCGAGGAAAGAGUAUGCCGAAGAGAAAAGAAUCUUGA